UCCCUGGUAGCCUAGUAGUUAAGGAUUUGGCAUUAUCACUGCUGUGGCUUAGGUUUGAUCCCUAGCCUGGGAA
Molecule: transfer RNA, 73 nt
Filed under: Sus scrofa (pig)
Lineage: Eukaryota; Metazoa; Chordata; Mammalia; Artiodactyla; Suidae
Rfam family: tRNA
About the family: Transfer RNA (tRNA) molecules are approximately 80 nucleotides in length.
Source: Rfam by way of RNAcentral